AUUGAACGCUGGCGGCAUGCCUUACACAUGCAAGUCGAACGGCAGCACGGGUGCUUGCACCUGGUGGCGAGUGGCGAACGGGUGAGUAAUACAUCGGAACAUGUCCUAUAGUGGGGGAUAGCCCGGCGAAAGCCGGCUUAAUACCGCAUACGAUCUACGGAUGAAAGCGGGGGACCUUCGGGCCUCGCGCUAUAGGGUUGGCCGAUGGCUGAUUAGCUAGUUGGUGGGGUAAAGGCCUACCAAGGCGACGAUCAGUAGAUGGUCUGAGAGGACGACCAGCCACACUGGGACUGAGACACGGCCCAGACUCCUACGGGAGGCAGCAGUGGGGAAUUUUGGACAAUGGGCGAAAGCCUGAUCCAGCAAUGCCGCGUGUGUGAAGAAGGCCUUCGGGUUGUAAAGCACUUUUGUCCGGAAAGAAAUCCUUGGCUCUAAUACAGUCGGGGGAUGACGGUACCGGAAGAAUAAGCACCGGCUAACUACGUG
RNAcentral lists this ribosomal RNA (486 nucleotides) under uncultured bacterium. RNAcentral describes it as "partial 16S ribosomal RNA". It matches the Rfam family "Bacterial small subunit ribosomal RNA", at positions 30 to 507 of the family's 1533-position model. The record is from RNAcentral.